RNAcentral lists this ribosomal RNA (274 nucleotides) under uncultured bacterium. Its description in RNAcentral is "partial 16S ribosomal RNA". It matches the Rfam family "Bacterial small subunit ribosomal RNA", at positions 523 to 796 of the family's 1533-position model. The record is from RNAcentral.
AUACGGAGGGUGCAAGCGUUACUCGGAAUCACUGGGCGUAAAGCGCGCGCAGGCGGUCUUUUAAGUUGGAUGUGAAAGCCUACGGCUCAACCGUAGAACUGCAUCCAAAACUAUUAGACUAGAGUGUGGGAGAGGAAGAUGGAAUUAGUUGUGUAGGGGUAAAAUCCGUAGAGAUAACUAGGAAUACCAAAAGCGAAGGCAAUCUUCUGGAACACUACUGACGUUGAGGCGCGAAAGCGUGGGGAGCAAACAGGAUUAGAAACCCUAGUAGUCC